UNUGAACUGGGUGACUAGAGUGUGUCAGAGGGAGGUAGAAUUCCACGUGUAGCAGUGAAAUGCGUAGAGAUGUGGAGGAAUACCGAUGGCGAAGGCAGCCUCCUGGGAUAACACUGACGUUCAUGCCCGAAAGCGUGGGUAGCAAACAGGAUUAGAUACCCUGGUAGUCCACGCCCUAAACGAUGUCGAUUAGCUGUUGGGCAGCAUGACUGCUUAGUAGCGAAGCUAACGCGUGAAAUCGACCGCCUGGGGAGUACGGUCGCAAGAUUAAAACUCAAAGGAAUUGACGGGGACCCGCACAAGCGGUGGAUGAUGUGGAUUAAUUCGAUGCAACGCGAAGAACCUUACCUGGUCUUGACAUGUACGGAACCCUCCAGAGACGGAGGGGUGCCUUCGGGAGCCGUAACACAGGUGCUGCAUGGCUGUCGUCAGCUCGUGUCGUGAGAUGUUGGGUUAAGUCCCGCAACGAGCGCAACCCUUGUCAUUAGUUGCCAUCAUUAAGUUGGGCACUCUAAUGAGACUGCCGGUGACAAGCCGGAGGAAGGUGGGGAUGACGUCAAGUCCUCAUGGCCCUUAUGACCAGGGCUUCACACGUCAUACAAUGGUCGGUACAGAGGGUAGCCAAGCCGCGAGGUGGAGCCAAUCUCACAAAACCGAUCGUAGUCCGGAUUGCACUCUGCAACUCGAGUGCAUGAAGUCGGAAUCGCUAGUAAUCGCAGGUCAGCAUACUGCGGUGAAUACGUUCCCGGGUCUUGUACA
RNAcentral lists this ribosomal RNA (759 nucleotides) under uncultured bacterium. Its description in RNAcentral is "bacterial SSU rRNA". It matches the Rfam family "Bacterial small subunit ribosomal RNA", at positions 627 to 1387 of the family's 1533-position model. The record is from RNAcentral.